CCCAAGGAAGCGCUUUGUCCACGUGGACAGAAAACGCGUCCUUGAGGGUGCGUUUCUGUCCACGUGGACAAAGCUCUUCCUUGGAG
Molecule: non-coding RNA, 86 nt
Organism: Gossypium raimondii (Peruvian cotton)
Lineage: Eukaryota; Viridiplantae; Streptophyta; Magnoliopsida; Malvales; Malvaceae
Source: Rfam